RNAcentral lists this ribosomal RNA (465 nucleotides) under uncultured bacterium. RNAcentral's name for it is "partial 16S ribosomal RNA". It matches the Rfam family "Bacterial small subunit ribosomal RNA", at positions 338 to 795 of the family's 1533-position model. The record is from RNAcentral.
CCUACGGGAGGCAGCAGUAGGGAAUCUUCCGCAAUGGGCGCAAGCCUGAUGGAGCAACACCGCGUGAGUGAAGAAGGUUUUCGGCUCGUAAAGCUCUGUUGUUAGGGAAGAACGUGCGUUUGAGUAACUGUUCACGCAGUGACGGUAUCCAACCAGAAAGUCACGGCUAACUACGUGCCAGCAGCCGCGGUAAUACGUAGGUGGCAAGCGUUAUCCGGAAUUAUUGGGCGUAAAGCGAGCGCAGGCGGUUGUUUAGGUCUGAUGUGAAAGACUACGGCUUAACCGAAGAAGGGCAUAGGAAACUGGAAGACUUGAGUGCAGAAGAGGAAAGUGGAACUCCAUGUGUAGCGGUGGAAUGCGUAGAGAUAUGGAAGAACACCAGUGGCGAAGGCGGCUGUCUGGUCUGUAACUGACGCUGAGGUGCGAAAGCAUGGGUAGCGAACAGGAUUAGAUACCCUAGUAGUC